RNAcentral lists this ribosomal RNA (1206 nucleotides) under uncultured eukaryote. RNAcentral describes it as "partial small subunit ribosomal RNA". It matches the Rfam family "Eukaryotic small subunit ribosomal RNA", at positions 570 to 1574 of the family's 1831-position model. The record is from RNAcentral.
GCACCCGCGGUAAUUCCAGCUCCAAUAGCGUAUAUUAAUGCUGCUGCUGUUAAAAAGCUCGUAGUUGGAUCAAGAGUACAACCGUGAAGGUUGGCCCAGUUUGUCAUCGUGGCCUCGGUUGCGGUGGCGGCUCGGGAGUAACCGCCUUCACCAAGCGGUUGUCUCUAAUAGGUGGAAACGGCUCCCGGUGAGUAGGUCCCUUCAUUGGGAUUGAAAGCGCAUACGCGUUAACCAUACGCAUUCGGGACGUCCACCAUUGUUACAUUGAACAAACCAGCGUGUCCAAAGCAGGUUCCGCCUGCAUGUUCGAGCAUGGAAUAACAAGGGAUCGAUUCUCUCGGUUCUUUUUGUUGGUUUUUAACCCGAGAAGGAGUAAUUCAGGCCACGGUGUCUGAGUUGGGUUUCCCGAGGCUUCGGCUGAGGCCCCAAUUAGGCCGUGUCCUUACGGGAUCAAUAGGGACUGCCGGGGUCGUACGUACUCCCACGUCAGAGGUGAAAUUCUUAGAUCGUGGGAAGACGAACUUCUGCGAAAGCAUUCGACAAGAAUGUCUUCAUUAAUCAAGAACGAGAGUGUGGGGAUCGAAGAUGAUCAGAUACCGUCGUAGUCCACUACUGUAAACGAUGCCGUCUCAGGAUCGAGAGGGCUCCUACAUGACCCUCACGGCACUAACCCCUGAAACGAGAAAUCAAAGAUUAUGGGUUCAGGGGGGAGUACAUUCGCAAGGCUGAAACUUAAAGGAAUUGACGGAAUGACACCACCAGGCGUGGCCAGGCGUGGAGUAUGCGGCUUAAUUUGACUCAACACGGGGAAUUUUACCAGGUCAGGACAAAGUGAGGAUUGACAGAUUGAGAGCUCUUUCUUGAUCCUUUGGAUGGUGGUGCAUGGCCGUUCCUGGUUGGUGGAGUGAUUUGUCUGGUUGAUUCCGUUAACGAACGAGAUCUCCGCCCUUAAAUAGGUGACAGUCUCGAAUGUAACGUAACCGAGUUGAAGGUUUCGGCCCGAUUCUUGGUGAGAGUGCUGUUGAACUUCUUAGGGGGACUGCGUACGUCUCUAGUACGCGGAAGAGGGAGCCAAUAGCAGGUCUGUGAUGCUCCUAAAUGUUCUGGGCCGCACGCGCACUACACUGAUACGGUAAGCUAGCUGCAGUCGAUUCGACUCCUUCUCAGAAAUGAGCGGGAAAUCCUUUUGAACUGCAUCGUGAUGAG